GAUGAACGCUAGCGGCAGGCCUAAUACAUGCAAGUCGAACGAGAUUAAGAGGCUUGCUUCUUAUGAAAGUGUCGCACGGGUGCGUAACGCGUAUGCAACCUACCUUAAUCAGGGGGAUAGCCCGAAGAAAUUCGGAUUAAGACCGCAUAAAAACACAGGAUAGCAUUAUCCACUGUUCAAAUAUUUAUAGGAUUAAGAUGGGCAUGCGUGUCAUUAGCUAGGUGGCGGGGUAACGGCCCACCAAGGCGACGAUGACUAGGGGAUCUGAGAGGAUGACCCCCCGCACUGGUACUGAGACACGGACCAGACUCCUACGGGAGGCAGCAGUAAGGAAUAUUGGUCAAUGGGGGGAACUCUGAACCAGCCAUGCCGCGUGCAGGAAGACAGCCCUCUGGGUCGUAAACUGCUUUUAUUCGGGAAUAAACCUUUCUACGUGUAGGAAGCUGAAUGUACCGAAGGAAUAAGGAUCGGCUAACUCCGUG
Molecule: ribosomal RNA, 482 nt
Filed under: uncultured bacterium
Lineage: Bacteria
Description: partial 16S ribosomal RNA
Rfam family: Bacterial small subunit ribosomal RNA
Source: RNAcentral